AGGGACUCUCCCCUUCUGUCACAGCUGCUCAGUCAGUGCGAAAUGGGUAACCUGAAAGCUCUGGAAACUUAGCGUCUCCUGGGAGACAGAAAAACCUAUUAGUCAGAAAUUAGUCACACAUGACUGUACAAGUGGAAGUAACAUGCUCUAACUAACUGCUAAAUUUCUGGUGAGUCAUGGGGUGAGGAGGAACAGCAGCAAAUGAAAUGGCUACUCCCCCCCCCGGUCCCCCUUUUCCUGCCGGUUCUUUUUUAACAGAGAUGGUGUUAUUGUAAUAGCUGGGAACCUUGCGAACCUAAGAGAAGGCCCUGUUUGGGCAAGGGGGGGCAGGGGGCGCCCUACAGUUAAGGCAGAGCUGGGUUGGGUACCUCAAGCAACAGAUGGAAAUUUGUGUGGAGCAGCGUCGAGAUCUUGGGAGGCCAGAGGCACACGUGUCACUUCACCCAAACCAGACGGAUCGUGACCUGGAUUGGAGCAAUUGCCCACUUCAGAAUCUGCAGUAUGGCAGAUUCCAAAACAUGGUGGUCCAAAGGUUGCUUUGUUUAUGUUUCCCUCUGUUAACUGGGAGGGCCACAUUCGCACCAUAUAUUGAAAACUCUAUGAUCCCCCCUUAAACUGACAUGGCUUCCCUCAAAGAAUUCUGAGAACCAGAGGCGCCAACUUCUCAUGAUGUUGGAGGGAGCCUGACACAACGUCCUGACGUUGCGCAUGCGACGUUGCGCAAUGUCCUGCCGUCGUGUGACGUCACAAGGAGUCGGGGUGGGGCUGAACGCCCUCUGAACAUUGAUGGGGCCUGCCCCUAAAAAAACAUGGGGGGCCACAAGUACCUCGGCCCCCUGGAGCUGGUGCCUAUGCUGGGAACCAUGGUAUUUUAAAGGGAGCUGAGAGCUGUUAGGAGACCCCUUUCCCCCUUCACAAAACUACAAUUCCCAGAGUGCUUUAGCAGUCAAUCCCUCUUCCCUGUGAGCUGUAAACCGGGAAUAGGGUUUGCAAUGCAGAUAGCUUCAAUUUCCUUCCCUUUUUAAAUAACAACCCCUGGAAUGGAAUUUGCCUUUACUGUACUGCACGCUGAGUUGAUGUUUUUGUUUAGUUAUCCAUCAACCCACCUGACCCCAAGAUCCUUUUCUUGGGUUCCCACUGCCAGUUCAGACCCUAUCAGCACAUUUGCUAGAUCCAGGGAAAGUUAGAUGAACUUAGUCCCAUUGUAAUUAGUGGGGUCAUGAUGAGCAACUUUUCAAUGUGAGCUGAAUCCAACCCAGAAUUAUUUGCCCCAGUGUGCAUCACUUUACACCUAUUUAUCUGGUUCUUCAUUUGAUAUUUUGUUGCCCAUUCAUCCAGUUUAGAGAGAUCCUUUUAGAUUUCUUUGUGGUCUUCUUGGGCUUUCCCUGUAUUGCAUAAUUUGAUGACAUAUUCCAACUUGCCCGCUUCAUUGCUUACCAGAAUUGGUGCCUUUUUUGUUUUGUUUUUUGUUCUUUCAUUUGGGGCAACCUUCUAUUUUUAAAGGAAGACUUCUAGCCUUUCAUCUUGACUCUGCUCAUUAGCCAUACUGACAUCCUCUUGAACUUAUUUGUGCCUGUCUUAAUAUGUGAAUGUCAUGCUAUUUUAGCUUCUGUGACCAUCAUUUUAACUAAUUCCAAGCACCCUGGAGAGUCUUGCCAACUCAUAUUUUCAGCUUCCAUUUAAUUUUAAAGCACGUUUCCUCUUUUGAAAUCAGAUGUGACUGUUCUGCACUUUCUGGGCAAAUUCCCACUUACGCAUAGAUUGAGUUUGGUAGGAGAUGGGACAAUCUUUAAAGAAGAAUGCUGUGUGUCACCAGCAGAAUUUAGAAUGUUAACUUGCUUUAUGCUUUUAUAUAUAUAGUUUUGUUCUGGUCCGUGUAAAGUUCAUUUUCAUUUUCUUCAACUUUAUGUGGAUAUGUAGUUCUCUUUUAAAAAAUAAUAAUCUUAUUUUGUGAUGGAUACAACAUAAACCAGUCCUGAUGUGAUUUGAUAACACAGUGGUCAUGAUUCCCAAUCAUCCUAUCAUGUAUUCCUAGUUCUGAACACCAUUCAAGAUGGACAGAGCAAUCUAAAUCUGCUUUAUGUGCUAUGGGAUGUUUGGAUUGAACAGAGACUCUUCCCUUACUCUAUUGACUGCUGCCCACUUACCCCUUCUGUCCUCUAAACAUGUGGCCAGCAGUUCCACUAGUCGUAUCCCUGCCAAUAGAGACCAGUGGAAAGUCCUGAAAUUGGGCAUUUUGAGGGUGGGAAGGGGGCAGGACUAAACCAGCACUGGAUCUGCUGGACCCUAAACUGGUCUGACUGAUGUUAUAUGAUGGCAUUCAGCUGUCUGUAUCACCAUGGAACUGGUGAAUGGAUCAGGCCUGACGGUGCCAGAGGUGGAGCAAGGUGGGUGUGGUCUGCCCUGGGUGUCAUCCCUGAGGGGGGGUGACAUCACUGUGCCACCCCGGGACACACUCACCACGGGUGGCGCACCCCUGGAAAGGACUCUUAAGUUUUCUUCUUUGGAUUCUCUUUGACAUCUAGAGCAACAUUCUCCCCAAAUGCCCUUCCCAGUCCUCACUAUAGACCUUCUCUCCAUGGAUAACUGCAUCCUGUUGAUUCUCUCAAUCAACAUCUCUAUCUACGUCCUCAUUUAGCACCAAGCGCUCAGCUGGCCUACCAAGAUUAUUAACAAAUACAUUGCAUCUGUUUCCCCUUUGCUCCUUUCCAAGCUCAACCUUAACCCCAUUUAGGUCACCUAGAACAUUUAUAACCACAUUCCUUAAAGGUGAGCUGUCUUGAACUGGGUGUUCCCCACCUCUGGCUGGCCUUCCCCCAGAAAUCAGUUUCACAAAAGGGUGAUUUACAACCUUUUUGAUAUUAAGUACUGUACCUCCGGCUCCAAUGCAGUUCGAGAGGAACAAGACUCACCAUGUUCCAAGGUGUUCCCCAGUGCCUAACAAUUCUAAAACCUUCUUCCCAACCACCACCAUCUCAUCCAUGUGCUGAGACCCCACAGCUCUACCUAUCUAGCUGGUCCAAUGCAUGAAACGAGUAACAUAUCUGCUACCAUGGAGUUCCUGGGCUUUAACAACUCAACUAGCAACCUAUUUUUGGUUUCCAGGACCUCUGGAUCUCAAUUCCCAGACAGGAACUGGCACCAGGUAGCCUCAGGAGAGCUACUGUCUACUCCUCUCUCCACCCCAGUUCUCCAUCUGCAGGAUGUGGCGUAUGGUGGUUAGCAGUAUUGGUCUACCGUACCAUACCGUUGUGGUGAUUGCUGAGAUGAUUGUAUGUGAAAUGCUCUGAACACUUUGAAAUUGUUGUAAUUUGCAGUACAAUUGUAUAACGACAACAACAACAACAUUUUUAUUAUUUAUGUGCCACCCAUUUGACCAGGUUGCCUUAGCUGCUCUGGGCAGCUCCCAAGAAGGUAUUAAAAGCAUAAUAAAACAUCAACCCUUAAAAAAUUCCC
RNAcentral lists this long non-coding RNA (3456 nucleotides) under Podarcis lilfordi (Lilford's wall lizard). Lineage: Eukaryota; Metazoa; Chordata; Lepidosauria; Squamata; Lacertidae. The record is from RNAcentral.